This 548-nucleotide ribosomal RNA is filed under the name uncultured Sebacinales. RNAcentral describes it as "eukaryotic LSU rRNA". The stretch from base 117 to 548 matches the Rfam family "Eukaryotic large subunit ribosomal RNA", at positions 1 to 427 of the family's 3401-position model. The record is from RNAcentral. Lineage: Eukaryota; Fungi; Basidiomycota; Agaricomycetes; Sebacinales.
GCUUUGCGGCGUAUUCGGUGUGAUACAUCUUCACCGGAGUUGAUCCUUUCGGGUCGCGUCUGUAAUGGUGUGGCUCUAUGCUUCGAACCGUCUCCAAGAGACAACCUCUGACAAUUUGACCUCAAAUCGGGUGGGACUACCCGCUGAACUUAAGCAUAUCAAUAAGCGGAGGAAAAGAAACUAACAAGGAUUCCCCUAGUAACGGCGAGUGAAGAGGGAAAAGCUCAAAUUUUGAAUCUGGUGUCUUUGACUCCCGAGUUGUAAUCUAGAGAAGUGUUUUCCGUGUCGGACCGUGCACAAGUUCCCUGGAACGGGGCGUCAUAGAGGGUGAGAAUCCCGUAUAUGGCAUGGACUGCCGAUGCUUUUGUGAUACACUCUCAACGAGUCGAGUUGUUUGGUAAUGCCCCUCAAAAUGGGUGGUAAAUUCCAUCUAAAGCUAAAUAUUGGCGAGAGACCGAUAGCGAACAAGUACCGUGAGGGAAAGAUGAAAAGCACUUUGGAAAGAGAGUGAAACAGUACGUGAAAUUGUUGAAAGGGAAGCGUUUGAA